GAUGAACGCUGGCGGCGUGCCUAAUACAUGCAAGUCGAGCGAACAGAUGAUGAGCUUGCUCCUCUGACGUUAGCGGCGGACGGGUGAGUAACACGUGGAUAACCUACCUAUAAGACUGGGAUAACUUCGGGAAACCGGAGCUAAUACCGGAUAAUAUAUUGAACCGCAUGGUUCAAUAGUGAAAGACGGUUUUGCUGUCACUUAUAGAUGGAUCCGCGCCGCAUUAGCUAGUUGGUAAGGUAACGGCUUACCAAGGCAACGAUGCGUAGCCGACCUGAGAGGGUGGUCGGCCAAACUGGAACUGAGACAAGGUCCAGACUCCUAAGGGAGGCAGCAGUAGGGAAUCUUCGGCAAUGGGCGAAAGCCUGACGGAGCAAAGCCGCGUGAGGGAUGAAGGUCUUCGGAUCGUAAAACUCUGUUAUUAGGGAAGAACAAAUGUGUAAGUAACUAUGCACGUCUUGACGGUACCUAAUCAGAAAGCCACGGCUAACUACGUG
Molecule: ribosomal RNA, 497 nt
Filed under: uncultured bacterium
Lineage: Bacteria
Description: partial 16S ribosomal RNA
Rfam family: Bacterial small subunit ribosomal RNA
Source: RNAcentral